UACAGAGGGUGCGAGCGUUGUCCGGAAUCACUGGGCGUAAAGGGCGCGUAGGCGGCCCGAUAAGUAGGGGGUGAAAUCUUGCGGCUUAACCGCAAGGCUGCCUUCUAAACUGUCGGGCUGGAGCACGGUAGAGGCAGAUGGAAUUCCCGGUGUAGCGGUGGAAUGCGUAGAGAUCGGGAAGAACACCAGUGGCGAAGGCGGUCUGCUGGGCCGUUGCUGACGCUGAGGCGCGACAGCGUGGGGAGCAAACAGG
RNAcentral lists this ribosomal RNA (253 nucleotides) under uncultured bacterium. RNAcentral describes it as "partial 16S ribosomal RNA". It matches the Rfam family "Bacterial small subunit ribosomal RNA", at positions 524 to 776 of the family's 1533-position model. The record is from RNAcentral.